This 266-nucleotide ribosomal RNA is filed under the name uncultured bacterium. Its description in RNAcentral is "partial 16S ribosomal RNA". It matches the Rfam family "Bacterial small subunit ribosomal RNA", at positions 793 to 1055 of the family's 1533-position model. The record is from RNAcentral.
GUCCACGCCGUAAACGAUGGAUGCUAGCCGUUGGCGGGUUUACUCGUCAGUGGCGCAGCUAACGCAUUAAGCAUCCCGCCUGGGGAGUACGGUCGCAAGAUUAAAACUCAAAGGAAUUGACGGGGGCCCGCACAAGCGGUGGAGCAUGUGGUUCAAUUCGAAGCAACGCGCAGAACCUUACCAGCCCUUGACAUCCCGGUCGCGGGAACCAGAGAUGGAUCCUUUCAGUUCGGCUGGACCGGAGACAGGUGCUGCAUGGCUGUCGU